RNAcentral lists this long non-coding RNA (3435 nucleotides) under Podarcis lilfordi (Lilford's wall lizard). The record is from RNAcentral. Lineage: Eukaryota; Metazoa; Chordata; Lepidosauria; Squamata; Lacertidae.
UCACCGCAGAGUUUCUCCCGACCCGCCUCCCAGGACAAAACAGCUUACAGUAUUUUAAAAGCUGUCUUUGGACUUGCUUACGCAGGUAUGCAGGGUAUUAGGAUCACAUUCUAAAUAAUAAACGAAGCCCAAUUGAACUCACUUCUGAGCAGACUGGGGCUGGAUUGAGCUAAACUUCAAUUCUAUGCGCCGCCUUGGGCCGCGUUCAAGGCGGCCUAUAGAAGAACAAUGAAGCCAAACAGAUCCAUCGUGUCCAACGAUCCGUAUCUCAAAAAUACGGAUCCACAUACAAAUAUCGGCAACCUGAAACUAAAAAUGCAAUAAAAUAGACUCCAACAGCUCAUCUGAAAAAACAACAACUGUGCCUCGCACCUCCUCGUCACUUUCUCUAGAUAUGUAGUGAUAUCCAUGUUAAUCGUUAUUAACCUAAUUGACUUAGUUCCAAAAUCUGGGUAGCGGCAAAGAGCAGGUUGGCAGACAAAGAAGCGCUUAUUCCUGGGCCUUUCCCGUGAAACAGGAUCCGUCUUCUUUAGGGUUAACGUCAGGCACCAGGCCUUCCUUCGUGGUGGGUUUGGGGUUUUUGCGCCUUUCGCUGGCCAGGUGAAGGCUCUUCUGUUUCCCUCCUCGCGCUGCCAGCUUCAAAUGCAAAAUAAUAAGGCCCAGGGCGCAAGCAGGCGGGUUUCCUGAGCGAAUAACUCCUAUUGAAAUGAAUGGGGAGGCGAAGAGGGCACCGUUUUAGCAUUUCAUUUGCAAGUACAAGGCAAGGUCCAGCUAACGUGGAGCACUUCUAGUGCAACCCUAUCAAGCCUUGUCAAAAGCAAGGCGCACGGACUUCCAGGGCUCACUCCCAACCUCAGAUAACAUAGGACUUCAACCUUAAGAGCACAUCGAAAUCGAAGGGCAAUGCCACUCCAAAGGAGACCAGCGCAAGAAAACUUCCCAGUGGAUCGUGCCCAUAUAGUGCUUACCUCGAGCCUUUCAAUUUUAGGUUUUUUAAAAAAGAAGAAAAGUGUCAUAUAUACUAACUCAAUCAUACAAACACUCAUUUUCCCCCAUAUAAGGCGUCACAGAUUAUAUCAGCGACUUCACCACCGAAGCAGCAUGAGAAAAGGACCCUCCGGCUCUCAACUCUCACCCAUCUGCUUUCACAGAACCACAUAGUUGGAAGGGACCACGAGGGUCAUCUAGUCCGACCCUCCUGCCCAACGUGGGGCUCCAACCUGCCACCCUGAGAUUAAGAGCCUCAUGCUAUACUAACUGGGCUGUCCGCUUACUCAGGUGGAGGAGACUAGUGGGGCAAGCGAACUGCAACCAGGCGCUGCUGGAAAACAAGACCGUUUCCUUGGGUUAAAGAAUGCGCGCGCCGCUUGCCAAUGUGUCCGGUUCGGUGCAAGGGGGUGCUACGAUGCAGCGCAGCCUUAACCAGGCUGAUACGGUGGGAAACUCUCAGGUAAGUGUGCCUUAGGGGACGCCGCUAUUACAGGCCCGACACCCUCCUUCCACACACCAUGGCAAUAAGCGGGCCAAGUUCUCGUAGCGGCCUGGUUAGUAAAAGCACCGUUAGUUGGGAGUGUGCUGGAUAACCCUAAAGAAAAAGGAGCACCCUAGAGGAGCCUGCGGGGUGGGGGUGGGGGCAGGAUCAGGUUAGAAGAAUAUAUACAGUGGUACCUCGGGUUACAGACGCUUCAGGUUACAGAUGCUUCAGGUUACAGACUCCGCUAACCCAGAAAUAGUACCUCGGGUUAAGAACUUUGCUUCAGGAUGAGAACAGAAAUCGUGCUCCGGUGGCGCAGCGGCAGCAGGAGGCCCCAUUAGCUAAAGUGGUGCUUCAGGUUAAGAACAGUUUCAGGUUAAGAACAGACCUCCAGAACGAAUUAAGUACUUAACCCGAGGUACCACUGUAGUUCCGAAAGAAAAGGAAGGCUUAGCUGUCUUUAAGCUGGGCAGGAUUUUCGCCGGCUCUCUGUCUAGACGGCAGGGGAGCUUUGGGGCGGAAGGGAGCAACCCUAGAGGCACAAUGGGUCAGUGCACCCGGUUGCUUCGAGUCCACCCUACCCAGGGACUGCUGUGGGCAGGAUUCCUGCAUUGCAGGGGGUUGGACUAGAUGACCCCCGGGAUCCCUCCAUGAUUCUAAGUGUCCGCAGCCCAGCCCACCUGCAAGCAGCCCUGUUUACAAAGUCCUCGCCAUGCUUUUGCGGGAGAAGUGUAGCGGCGCCUCCUCCUCUCAUUAGCUCUCCCAACAAUGCCUCCCGGAUGAGACAGGCCGGGAGUGGGCCUGCGACUCUUAGAUUUGCAGAUCUUCCCUUUCCCUCUCUGCCCUUUCCCUUUUUCUCCCGCCUGCACAUUACAUUUCAGUCAUGCUUUGCAGCAGAACACGAUAUCCCCCAAAGAACCCAAAGAAGAGACAGAGAGAGGGAGGGAGGGAGGGAGAGAUACCCUGACAGCAACCAUUAGUUAAGAAAAACCCUCGCGCAAGAGUAUCAGCUAAUUAAGAUUCUGUUUAGCAAUCCUGGAUGGAAUGUUAAUGUUUCCCUCGGAAGGAGCGAGGAGGGAGGGAAUGCAGUGGAAGGGGAGGGAUAAACCCAAAACACCCCCAGCAGCACCACCUAGCCCUGUUUUCUGAAGAGGAAUGCUGAUGCAGGGUGAUAACAUCACUUGCUUGUGUCCAAGGUCUGCCCAAGCCUGUUAGAAAGCCAUUAUCUCAAAUUACUCCUGUACUUCAUUCGCUCCCUCUCCCUCUCUGGUUUGGGGCUGAGCGAGCUUCCCUUGGCGUUGCAGCCGUGCCUGGAGCCUGGCAAAAGCCAAUACUCUCUGAGGGAGAUGGAGGCUGAAUCGAGCUUCUCUCUUUUUUCGCUUCGAACGCUCUUGGCCUGUCCCCAAAUCCUUGGGCAAAUAUAGCCCUCAAUCGCUGUAAGCCCGAUUAGGAUCUCUCCGCUGGCGUCUGGGCCCCGUGUCCCCUGGGGACUCAGCUGACCCCUUUGAAGCCCCUUCCUCUCUUGCUUACAGCGAAGUUGACAUGAUUAACUGGGGGGUUUUUACAAGGCGAAGUUCGUUAGCUCCCAACACUCAACACCUUCGAGGGGUGGAGAAACAGGAGGGAGAAUAAAAGGAAAAUAUACCCUGAGUUGACCUGCUGCACGUUUAGCUCCGGAAAGGUUCCCUUGGGGCCUAUUCACAGGAAGGUGGGGAACCAGGUAGGUGGCUGUACCACUUUGUACUGUGUGCGUUUGUGACAUGAAGGAAUGCACCUCUGUAUAAAAUGUUUCUGUGCACAGAAAGGCCUUCUGGCCUCUCCAACCCCUGCAAUAGGCAGCCAUUCUCUGAACAAGACAUUUUGGUACAUAGGGAGAAGCAUCCAGAGGUAUGAAGUGUGAGCUGAAGUGGUACAACCCGGACACAAGUUGUUCACCUCCAGGCCUUUGACAUGAUCUAGCC